This 22-nucleotide non-coding RNA is filed under the name Arabidopsis thaliana (thale cress). Lineage: Eukaryota; Viridiplantae; Streptophyta; Magnoliopsida; Brassicales; Brassicaceae. The record is from RNAcentral.
GGAGGACAUCAGUUUUUGGGCA